Molecule: ribosomal RNA, 433 nt
Filed under: uncultured bacterium
Lineage: Bacteria
Description: partial 16S ribosomal RNA
Rfam family: Bacterial small subunit ribosomal RNA
Source: RNAcentral
AACGAACGCUGGCGGCAUGCCUAACACAUGCAAGUCGAACGAGACCUUCGGGUCUAGUGGCGCACGGGUGCGUAACGCGUGGGAACCUACCCUUAGGUUCGGAAUAACUCCCCGAAAGGGGUGCUAAUACCGGAUAAUGUCUUCGGACCAAAGAUUUAUCGCCUUUGGAUGGGCCCGCGUUGGAUUAGCUAGUUGGUAGGGUAAAAGCCUACCAAGGCGACGAUCCAUAGCUGGUCUGAGAGGAUGAUCAGCCACACUGGGACUGAGACACGGCCCAGACUCCUACGGGAGGCAGCAGUGGGGAAUAUUGGACAAUGGGCGAAAGCCUGAUCCAGCAAUGCCGCGUGAGUGAUGAAGGCCUUAGGGUUGUAAAGCUCUUUUACCCGGGAUGAUAAUGACAGUACCGGGAGAAUAAGCUCUGGCUAACUCCGUG